AUUGAACGCUGGCGGCAUGCCUUACACAUGCAAGUCGAACGGUAAGGCCCUUCGGGGUACACGAGUGGCGAACGGGUGAGUAACACGUGGGUGAUCUGCCCUGCACUUCGGGAUAAGCCUGGGAAACUGGGUCUAAUACCGGAUAGGACCACUGCCUGCAUGGGUGGUGGUGGAAAGCUUUUGCGGUGUGGGAUGGGCCCGCGGCCUAUCAGCUUGUUGGUGGGGUGAUGGCCUACCAAGGCGACGACGGGUAGCCGGCCUGAGAGGGUGACCGGCCACACUGGGACUGAGAUACGGCCCAGACUCCUACGGGAGGCAGCAGUGGGGAAUAUUGCACAAUGGGCGCAAGCCUGAUGCAGCGACGCCGCGUGAGGGAUGACGGCCUUCGGGUUGUAAACCUCUUUCAGCACCGACGAAGCGCAAGUGACGGUAGGUGCAGAAGAAGGACCGGCCAACUACGUGCCAGCAGCCGCCGUAA
Molecule: ribosomal RNA, 478 nt
Filed under: uncultured bacterium
Lineage: Bacteria
Description: partial 16S ribosomal RNA
Rfam family: Bacterial small subunit ribosomal RNA
Source: RNAcentral